RNAcentral lists this ribosomal RNA (586 nucleotides) under Calocybe hypoxantha. RNAcentral's name for it is "eukaryotic LSU rRNA". It matches the Rfam family "Eukaryotic large subunit ribosomal RNA", at positions 77 to 635 of the family's 3401-position model. Lineage: Eukaryota; Fungi; Basidiomycota; Agaricomycetes; Agaricales; Lyophyllaceae. The record is from RNAcentral.
UCCCUAGUAACUGCGAGUGAAGCGGGAAAAGCUCAAAUUUAAAAUCUGGUAGCCUCUGGCUAUCCGAGUUGUAAUCUAGAGAAGCAUUUAUCCGCGCUGGACCGUGUACAAGUCUCCUGGAACGGAGCGUCAUAGAGGGUGAGAAUCCCGUCUUUGACACGGACUUACCAGGGCUUUUGUGAUGUGCUCUCGAAGAGUCGAGUUGUUUGGGAAUGCAGCUCUAAAUGGGUGGUAAAUUCCAUCUAAAGCUAAAUAUUGGCGAGAGACCGAUAGCGAACAAGUACCGUGAGGGAAAGAUGAAAAGAACUUUGGAAAGAGAGUUAAACAGUACGUGAAAUUGUUGAAAGGGAAACGCUUGAAGUCAGUUGCGUCUAUUGGGGGUCAGCCUUGCUCUUUUGCUUGGUGUAUUUCCUGAUGGGACGGGUCAGCAUCAAUUUUGACCAAUGGAAAAAGGUCAUGGGAAUGUGGCAUCUUUUUGGAUGUAUUAUAGCCCUUGAUUGCAUACAUUGGUUGGGAUUGAGGAACUCAGCACGCCCGAAAAGGGUCGGGUCAUUGACCACGUUCGUGCUUAGGAUGCUGGCAUAAU